CUAAAAAUACAUGUAAUAAUGAGCUCAUUAACAAUUCACAGUGGGUGAAUUUCCAGUAAUUUUAAGAUUGUCAGUAAAGAUUUGUAAAUUUCCCAGAAGUCUGGGAGUGACAAGCCUGUGGGAAAGAAGUGGCUUGGGAAGGAAAGCUAUACAGAACUUCAAUAAGCACAAGGCUUUCAGAUUCAAAUUACUUUAAUUAAUUAGAUCUUUGUCUUCCUUUUGUCUUCUUUCUACAUAUUUAAAAAAUAUUUUUAACUUGCCCUACUUCAAUAGUAUUAUCAUGAUAUAUGAAAUACUGAGUGUGAAACUUAUUGGUUUUUGUGGUACUGGGGAUCAAACCCAGGACCUUGCACAUGUUAGGCAAGUGCUCUACCAUUGAGCUAUGUCCUUAGCCCUUUUAUUUUGAGACAGGGUCUCAUCAAGUUGCCAGGAUGGCCUUGAACUUAAAUCAGUCUUCUGAGUUGCUGGGAUUAUAAGCAUGUGCCACUGUGCUAGGCAAAAAUUCUUUAAACUGUAUAGUACUGUAUCAAUGUGAGGCAUUGGUGGGAAAUAGAAGAUGGGGUCUCCGUCCUCAAAGAAUAAUCUGGAAAGGCUUCCAAAAACUUAGUACAUUUGAGGACCACUGCCCUCUGCUAAUCUGCGUGCCCUGGAGAUACUGGCUCAUCCAUAGCUGUAAAGAAGGAUGAGGGAGAUGGCCUGGCUUCACUCAGGGCUCCUUUCCAGGAGAUAGAUAAAGGCCAAGAGCCUGCCUGCAUUAGAAGGUCCUGUAGUACUGAAAAAUCCCAGAAGGAGGCAACCUUAUCUCAGCCCCAGCCAUGAGUUUAAGGUAACCAUCAAAGCCAGUUUGGUUUUUCUUUUGAAAGUUAAAACAUUUGAUAAUUUUAUUUUUAAACUUAUUUUUUAAUGCUUUUUUAUGGUGCUGUGAAUUGAACCCUGUGCUUCAUGCAUACUAGGCAAAUGCUCUACCACUGAUUACUCCAUUGAAAUUUGUAAUUUAUGUUAUUUUUAAAAAAUUUUAAUCGACACAUAGUUAUACAUAUUCAUGGGUAAUAGUGUAAUAUUUUGAUGCAGGUAUACAAUUUUCAAAUCAGGUUAAUUAGCAUAUUCACCACCUUGAACAUUUAUCAUUUCUUUGUAUUAGAAAAAUUCAAAACCCUCUCUUUCAGAUAUUUUGAAAUAUAAAAUCAAUUAUGUUUACCAUUGUCACUCUAUUAUGCUAGAACUUAAUCCUCCUAUAACUGUAUUUUUAUAUGUUAACCAACCAGCCCUUCU
RNAcentral lists this long non-coding RNA (1272 nucleotides) under Marmota monax (woodchuck). Lineage: Eukaryota; Metazoa; Chordata; Mammalia; Rodentia; Sciuridae. The record is from RNAcentral.